GUAGGUGGCAAGCGUUGUCCGGAAUUAUUGGGCGUAAAGCGCGCGCAGGCGGUUCUUUAAGUCUGAUGUGAAAGCCCACGGCUCAACCGUGGAGGGUCAUUGGAAACUGGAGAACUUGAGUACAGAAGAGGAAAGCGGAAUUCCACGUGUAGCGGUGAAAUGCGUAGAGAUGUGGAGGAACACCAGUGGCGAAGGCGGCUUUCUGGUCUGUAACUGACGCUGAGGCGCGAAAGCGUGGGGAGCAAACAGGGAUUAGAUACCUGGUAGUCCACGCCGUAAACGAUGAGUGCUAAGUGUUAGGGGGUUUCCGCCCCCUUAGUGCUGCAGCUAACGCAUUAAGCACUCCGCCUGGGGAGUACGGCCGCAAGGCUG
This 372-nucleotide ribosomal RNA is filed under the name uncultured organism. RNAcentral describes it as "partial 16S ribosomal RNA". It matches the Rfam family "Bacterial small subunit ribosomal RNA", at positions 527 to 896 of the family's 1533-position model. The record is from RNAcentral.